UACGUAGGCGGAAUAUUAAGUCAGUGGUGAAAUCCUGCGGCUCAACCGUAGAACUGCCAUUGAUACUGAUGUUCUUGAAUAUAGUUGAGGUAGGCGGAAUGUGUAAUGUAGCGGUGAAAUGCUUAGAUAUUACACAGAACACCGAUUGCGAAGGCAGCUUACUAAACUAUUAUUGACGCUGAUGUACGAAAGCGUGGGGAGCGAACAGGAUUAGAUACCCUGGUAGUCC
This 229-nucleotide ribosomal RNA is filed under the name uncultured bacterium. RNAcentral describes it as "partial 16S ribosomal RNA". It matches the Rfam family "Bacterial small subunit ribosomal RNA", at positions 568 to 796 of the family's 1533-position model. The record is from RNAcentral.